Molecule: ribosomal RNA, 253 nt
Filed under: uncultured bacterium
Lineage: Bacteria
Description: partial 16S ribosomal RNA
Rfam family: Bacterial small subunit ribosomal RNA
Source: RNAcentral
GACAGAGGGUGCAAACGUUGUUCGGAUUUACUGGGCGUAAAGCGUGUGUAGGCGGCUUGGCAAGUUGGAUGUGAAAGCCCACGGCUCAACCGUGGAAGCGCAUCCAAAACUGCUUCGCUCGAGUCUCGGAGAGGAAGGUGGAAUGCUUGGUGUAGAGGUGAAAUUCGUAGAUAUCAAGCGGAACACCGGUGGCGAAGGCGGCCUUCUGGACAGUGACUGACGCUGAGACGCGAAAGCGUGGGGAGCAAACAGG